This 478-nucleotide ribosomal RNA is filed under the name uncultured bacterium. Its description in RNAcentral is "partial 16S ribosomal RNA". It matches the Rfam family "Bacterial small subunit ribosomal RNA", at positions 28 to 523 of the family's 1533-position model. The record is from RNAcentral.
GACGAACGCUGGCGGCGUGCUUAACACAUGCAAGUCGAACGGUAAGGCCCUUCGGGGUACACGAGUGGCGAACGGGUGAGUAACACGUGGGUGAUCUGCCCUGCACUUCGGGAUAAGCCUGGGAAACUGGGUCUAAUACCGGAUAGGACCACUGCCUGCAUGGGUGGUGGUGGAAAGCUUUUGCGGUGUGGGAUGGGCCCGCGGCCUAUCAGCUUGUUGGUGGGGGGAUGGCCUACCAAGGCGACGACGGGUAGCCGGCCUGAGAGGGUGACCGGCCACACUGGGACAGAGAUACGGCCCAGACUCCUACGGGAGGCAGCAGUGGGGAAUAUUGCACAAUGGGCGCAAGCCUGAUGCAGCGACGCCGCGUGAGGGAUGACGGCCUUCGGGUUGUAAACCUCUUUCAGCACCGACGAAGCGCAAGUGACGGUAGGUGCAGAAGAAGGACCGGCCAACUACGUGCCAGCCGCCGCGGUAA